UUCCUUUGAGAUCAUUAUUUUCUGAAGAUUUAAUUCAUUAUUUUCAAUGUGGUACAUACGGGUGGGGAUAAAAAGGAGAAAGGAAUAUAGUUGAAGGCUGUGUGAUCUGCCAUGUGCCAUGUGAUCCUCCCUGCAAAACCACAAAUCUCCAGUAAAAUCUGUAAAGAAAAAAAAAAUGGUCAGAUAUGGAGCCCUGCAGGGAGGAAGUCAUGGGAUCUGCUCGGGACUUUGAACUUGGCCAGAAAAUCCUGUUUUCUCUUGGCGACUGACUUCUCCACACACUACUUUUCAACAUAUUCAUAAUCACACAAGGAAGAAGGCAAGACUCUAGUACUUUUGGGUGCUCAAAGACACUUUUGGGAGAAACAUAUAUAUUAACUUCCUCUU
RNAcentral lists this long non-coding RNA (387 nucleotides) under Homo sapiens (human). Its description in RNAcentral is "non-protein coding lnc-CDKAL1-2:1". The record is from RNAcentral. Lineage: Eukaryota; Metazoa; Chordata; Mammalia; Primates; Hominidae.